UACGGGGGGGGCAAGCGUUGUUCGGACUUACUGGGCGUAAAGCGUGCGUAGGUGGUUCGUUAAGUCUGUCGUGAAAGCCCCGGGCUCAACCUGGGAAUGGCGAUGGAUACUGGCGGGCUAGAGUGCGGUAGAGGAGAGUGGAAUUCCCGGUGUAGCAGUGAAAUGCGUAGAGAUCGGGAGGAACAUCAGUUGCGAAGGCGGCUCUCUGGACCAGCACUGACACUGAGGCACGAAAGCGUGGGGAGCAAACAGG
RNAcentral lists this ribosomal RNA (253 nucleotides) under uncultured bacterium. Its description in RNAcentral is "partial 16S ribosomal RNA". It matches the Rfam family "Bacterial small subunit ribosomal RNA", at positions 524 to 776 of the family's 1533-position model. The record is from RNAcentral.